UCGAGGAUCUUCGGCAAUGGACGCAAGUCUGACCGAGCGACGCCGCGUGCGGGAUGAAGGCCUUCGGGUUGUAAACCGCUGUCAGUUGGGAGGAAAUCACAUGGGGUUCUCUCCAUGUGUUGACCUAUCUUCAGAGGAAGGACGGGCUAAGUUCGUGCCAGCAGCCGCGGUAAGACGAACCGUCCAAACGUUAUUCGGAAUUACUGGGCUUAAAGGGUGCGUAGGCGGCCCUGUAAGUUGGGUGUGAAAUCCCUCGGCUCAACCGAGGAAUUGCGCUCAAUACUGCAGGGCUAGAGGAAGAUAGAGGUGAGCGGAACUUGUGGUGGAGCGGUGAAAUGCGUUGAUAUCACAAGGAACACCUGUGGCGAAAGCGGCUCACUGGGUCUUUUCUGACGCUGAGGCACGAAAGCUGGGGGAGCGAACGG
This 425-nucleotide ribosomal RNA is filed under the name uncultured bacterium. Its description in RNAcentral is "bacterial SSU rRNA". It matches the Rfam family "Bacterial small subunit ribosomal RNA", at positions 355 to 775 of the family's 1533-position model. The record is from RNAcentral.